UCCAUCCUUGUAGGCUGGCUGAGGAGACAGCCAUGCACCAGGGCAUCAUGGCCCAGCUGGAAAACGGUCACAUGAAUCUUCUCCCUUGAGGCCCAGCAGCCCACCUCCAUCCCCCCUCGCCCCAUGAAGGAAUGAGUCCCAGAGUAGGCAGGGGACUCACUGCUUUCCUCCUCCCUCUGACUGCUUUCUCUCCUCCCUCCUGCUGCAGUCUCCUUCUCGCCAGUGGGUGAGUAGCCCAAGGUGGAGGGGAGGUUCUGCCUGGUCUCUGGAGCUGAGGCUGGGGCAGAGGGUACAGCUGAACUGAUCCCUGAGAGACCACUGGGGCCAGGGUUGGGGGGUUACUGGAGGCUACAGUGUGCGCCAAGGCUCAUCCUUCCUGCCCUGUGUCCCUACAGACACUAACAGCACAUCUGGAGACCCGGUGGAGAAGAAGGACGAAACACCUUUUGGGGUCUCGGUGGCUGUGGGCCUGGCCGUCUUUGCCUGCCUCUUCCUUUCUACGCUGCUCCUUGUGCUCAACAAAUGCGGACGGAGAAACAAGUUUGGGAUCAACCGCCCGGCUGUGCUGGCUCCAGAGGACGGGCUGGCCAUGUCCCUGCAUUUCAUGACAUUGGGUGGCAGCUCCCUGUCCCCCACCGAGGGCAAAGGCUCUGGGCUCCAAGGCCACAUCAUCGAGAACCCACAAUACUUCAGUGAUGCCUGUGUUCACCACAUCAAGCGCCGGGACAUCGUGCUCAAGUGGGAGCUGGGGGAGGGCGCCUUUGGGAAGGUCUUCCUUGCUGAGUGCCACAACCUCCUGCCUGAGCAGGACAAGAUGCUGG
This 821-nucleotide small RNA is filed under the name Pongo abelii (Sumatran orangutan). RNAcentral describes it as "retained intron". Lineage: Eukaryota; Metazoa; Chordata; Mammalia; Primates; Hominidae. The record is from RNAcentral.